This 274-nucleotide long non-coding RNA is filed under the name Rhopalosiphum maidis (corn leaf aphid). RNAcentral's name for it is "uncharacterized LOC113559092, transcript variant X2". The record is from RNAcentral. Lineage: Eukaryota; Metazoa; Arthropoda; Insecta; Hemiptera; Aphididae.
AUUUCUGAAUUAUUCAGUGUUGUCCACGUACUAGUUGUCAUAAACAGACUUUCGAUCUCUUUAUGAUGGCAGUACAGCAGAUCACUUAAGGAUUGCUAAGACAUGAAUUAACGUUUCUAACACUUGACAAAGUUACAACAUCCUACGUUGAAAAUGGACUAGACGAUACUGAUAAUAAUAAUGGUUUUAUGCAAAAUUGCAGUGCAACAGAUCACUCAAGGCUUGCUGAGCAUGAAUUAACAUUUUUAGCGCUUGGAAUAGUUUCAACAUCCUA